ACGACGUCAAAUCAUCAUGCCCUUUAUGUCCUGGGCUACACACGUACUACAAUGGCCGUUACAACGGGAAGCGAAGGAGCAAUCCGGAGCAAAUACCCUUAAAGGCGGUCCCAGUUCAGAUUGUGGGCUGAAACUCGCCCACAUGAAGGCGGAAUUGCUAGUAAUUGCAGAUCAGCAUGCUGCAGUGAAUACGUUCCCGGGCCUU
Molecule: ribosomal RNA, 205 nt
Filed under: uncultured Oscillospiraceae bacterium
Lineage: Bacteria; Bacillati; Bacillota; Clostridia; Eubacteriales; Oscillospiraceae
Description: partial 16S ribosomal RNA
Rfam family: Bacterial small subunit ribosomal RNA
Source: RNAcentral